RNAcentral lists this ribosomal RNA (818 nucleotides) under uncultured organism. Its description in RNAcentral is "bacterial SSU rRNA". It matches the Rfam family "Bacterial small subunit ribosomal RNA", at positions 504 to 1338 of the family's 1533-position model. The record is from RNAcentral.
CGUGCCAGCAGCCGCGGUAAAACGUAGGGGGCAAGCGUUAUCCGGAUUCACUGGGCGUAAGGAGCGUUGAGGCGGUUCCGUAAGUUGGGCGUGAAAGCUCCGGGCUUAACUCGGAGAUGUCGUUCAAUACUGCGGGGCUUGAGGACAGCAGAGGAAGGUGGAAUUCCCGGUGUAGUGGUGAAAUGCGUAGAUAUCGGGAGGAACACCCGUGGCGAAGGCGGCCUUCUGGGCUGUUCCUGACGCUGAAGGCGAAAGCUAGGGGAGCGAACGGGAUUAGAUACCCCGGUAGUCCUAGCUGUAAACGAUGGAUGCUGGGUGUGGGGGGUGUAAAUUCCCUCUGUGCCGAAGCAAACGCGUUAAGCAUCCCGCCUGGGGACUACGGCCGCAAGGCUAAAACUCAAACGAAUUGACGGGGGCCCGCACAAGCAGCGGAGCGUGUGGUUUAAUUCGAUGCUACACGAAGAACCUUACCUGGGUUUGACAUGCACGUGGUAGGGAACCGAAAGGGGACCGACCUUCGGGAGCGUGCACAGGUGCUGCAUGGCUGUCGUCAGCUCGUGCCGUGAGGUGUCGGGUUAAGUCCCGUAACGAGCGCAACCCUUGCCCUUAGUUACAAGUGUCUAAGGGGACUGCCCGGGACAACUGGGAGGAAGGUGGGGAUGACGUCAAGUCAGCAUGGCCUUUAUAUCCAGGGCUACACACACGCUACAAUGGCCGGUACAAUAGGUUGCGAAGUCGUGAGGCGGAGCCAAUCCUCAAAGCCGGUCUCAGUUCGAAUUGCAGUCUGCAACUCGACUGCAUGAAGCUGGAGUUGCUAG